CCCGGGCCCGCUGUACACUUCUAGGGGCCCCAGAGCAAAGUCCUCACUAGGUCCCCCUCACCACCUACUGACGGGACCUGAACUGCAGUAAUGAACUCCUGAAAAAACCUUUUCCCCAUUGACUUUAAUGGCAGCUCAGGUUCAGUCACGACCAUUAUUGUGGGAUCCGAAAGACCCCAACCAUUUUAACCGGAUGUGCAUUUACAAUGCUUGGAAGUCGAUGGCAGAGGCCAUGUAUGAUAAUUUCAACAAAAUGUCAGAGCACUUACAAGAAGACAUAUUAAAAGAAUUGAGAACCCAUUGGAAAUCCACAAGGGAUUACUUUAUAAAAUCCUAUAAUAAAAACCAAGAGGCAAUUGGAGCAUCGCCUUCAAAAAGGCCAAAAAUACCAUAUGAGGACCAGCUGCGCUCCCUCGUGCCAACCAGAUAACUU
Long non-coding RNA from Hyla sarda, 433 nucleotides. RefSeq lists it as uncharacterized. NCBI's taxonomy places the organism in Eukaryota, Metazoa, Chordata, Amphibia, Anura, Hylidae. The record is from RefSeq and is a predicted model, not a curated record. The transcript has 3 exons.